RNAcentral lists this ribosomal RNA (481 nucleotides) under uncultured bacterium. RNAcentral describes it as "bacterial SSU rRNA". It matches the Rfam family "Bacterial small subunit ribosomal RNA", at positions 28 to 507 of the family's 1533-position model. The record is from RNAcentral.
GAUGAACGCUAGCGGGAGGCCUAACACAUGCAAGCCGAGCGGUAGAGAGUAGCUUGCUACUCUUGAGAGCGGCGCACGGGUGCGUAACACGUGUGCAACCUACCUUUAUCUGGGGGAUAGCCUUUCGAAAGGAAGAUUAAUACCCCAUAAUAUAUUGACUGGCAUCAGUUGAUAUUGAAAACUCCGGUGGAUAGAGAUGGGCACGCGCAAGAUUAGAUAGUUGGUGAGGUAACGGCUCACCAAGUCAAUGAUCUUUAGGGGUCCUGAGAGGGAGAUCCCCCACACUGGUACUGAGACACGGACCAGACUCCUACGGGAGGCAGCAGUGAGGAAUAUUGGACAAUGGGUGAGAGCCUGAUCCAGCCAUCCCGCGUGAAGGAUGACGGCCCUAUGGGUUGUAAACUUCUUUUGUACAGGGAUAAACCUACCCUCGUGAGGGUAGCUGAAGGUACUGUACGAAUAAGCACCGGCUAACUCCGUG